GACUGCUUGGCGCAAUGGUAGCGCGCGGUCCUCCUAUUACUGCGGUCUAUCCGCUGAAAUAGGUAGUGAAAGACUGAGGUUGCGGGUUCGAGUCCCGUGGUGGUCG
RNAcentral lists this transfer RNA (106 nucleotides) under Hypoxylon sp. FL0543. RNAcentral describes it as "tRNA-Arg". It matches the Rfam family "tRNA". From Rfam's summary of the family: Transfer RNA (tRNA) molecules are approximately 80 nucleotides in length. The record is from RNAcentral. Lineage: Eukaryota; Fungi; Ascomycota; Sordariomycetes; Xylariales; Hypoxylaceae.